RNAcentral lists this ribosomal RNA (253 nucleotides) under uncultured bacterium. Its description in RNAcentral is "partial 16S ribosomal RNA". It matches the Rfam family "Bacterial small subunit ribosomal RNA", at positions 524 to 776 of the family's 1533-position model. The record is from RNAcentral.
UACGGAGGGCGCGAGCGUUGUUCGGAAUCACUGGGCGUAAAGCGCGUGUAGGCGGCCGAGCAAGUCGGAUGUGAAAUCCCGAGGCUCAACCUCGGAACUGCAUUCGAAACUGCUCGGCUCGAGUCCCAGAGAGGAUGGCGGAAUUCCCGGUGUAGGGGUGAAAUCCGUAGAUAUCGGGAGGAACACCAGUGGCGAAGGCGGCCAUCUGGACGGUGACUGACGCUGAGACGCGAAAGCGUGGGGAGCAAACAGG